CAGUCGCCACGGUAACACGAAGGGGGCUAGCGUUGUUCGGAAUUACUGGGCGUAAAGGGCGCGUAGGCGGCCAUUCAAGUUAGAUGUGAAAGCCCUGGGCUCAACCUAGGAAUUGCAUUUGAUACUGUUUGGCUUGAGUUCGGGAGAGGUGAGUGGAAUUCCCAGUGUAGAGGUGAAAUUCGUAGAUAUUGGGAAGAACACCAGUGGCGAAGGCGGCUCACUGGACCGACACUGACGCUGAGGCGCGAAAGCGUGGGGAGCAAACAGGAUUAGAUACCCCAGUAGUCCCUGUCUCUUAUAC
This 301-nucleotide ribosomal RNA is filed under the name uncultured bacterium. Its description in RNAcentral is "partial 16S ribosomal RNA". It matches the Rfam family "Bacterial small subunit ribosomal RNA", at positions 509 to 807 of the family's 1533-position model. The record is from RNAcentral.